GCACAAGCGGUGGAGCAUGUGGUUUAAUUCGAAGCGACGCGCAGAACCUUACCAGCCCUUGACAUCCCGGUCGCGGCCUAGAGAGAUCUAGGCCUUCAGUUCGGCUGGACCGGUGACAGGUGCUGCAUGGCUGUCGUCGGCUCGUGUCGUGAGAUGUUGGGUUAAGUCCCGCAACGAGCGCAACCCUCGCCCUUAGUUGCCCUUAUUCAGUUAGGCACUCUAAGGGGACUGCCGGUGAUAAGCCGAGAGGAAGGUGGGGAUGACGUCAAGUCCUCAUGGCCCUUACGGGCUGGGCUACACACGUGCUACAAUGGUGGUGACAGUGGGCAGCGAGACCGCGAGGUCGAGCUAAUCUCCAAAAACCAUCUCAGUUCGGAUUGCACUCUGCAACUCGAGUGCAUGAAGUUGGAAUCGCUAGUAAUCGCGGAUCAGCAUGCCGCGGUGAAUACGUUCCCGGGC
RNAcentral lists this ribosomal RNA (459 nucleotides) under uncultured bacterium. RNAcentral's name for it is "bacterial SSU rRNA". It matches the Rfam family "Bacterial small subunit ribosomal RNA", at positions 923 to 1379 of the family's 1533-position model. The record is from RNAcentral.